Molecule: ribosomal RNA, 440 nt
Filed under: uncultured bacterium
Lineage: Bacteria
Description: partial 16S ribosomal RNA
Rfam family: Bacterial small subunit ribosomal RNA
Source: RNAcentral
CCUACGGGAGGCAGCAGUGGGGGAUAUUGCACAAUGGGGGGAACCCUGAUGCAGCGACGCCGCGUGGGUGAAGAAGCGCCUCGGCGCGUAAAGCCCUGUCAGCAGGGAAGAAAAUGACGGUACCUGACGAAGAAGCCCCGGCUAACUACGUGCCAGCAGCCGCGGUAAUACGUAGGGGGCAAGCGCUAUCCGGAUUUACUGGGUGAAAAGGGGGCGCAGACGGCGAUGCAAGCCAGUAGUGAAAGCCCGGGGCCAAACCCCGGGACUGCUCUUGGAACUGCGUGGCUGGAGUGCAGGAGGGGCAGGCGGAAUUCCUGGUGGAGCGGUGAAAUGCGUAGAUAUCAGGAGGAACACCGGUGGCGAAGGCGGCCUGCUGGACUUCAACUGACGUUGAGGCCCGAAAGCGUGGGGAGCAAACAGGAUUAGAUACCCAUGUAGUC